AACGCAUAUUGCGCUCUCUGGUAUUCCGGAGAGCAUGCUUGUUUGAGUAUCAGUAAACACCCCUCAGAACUUCUUGAUUUUCGAAUCUUGGAGCUCUGGAUUUGAGUGAUCCCAACGCGUUCUUUCGCAGAACAUGGCGGGCCACUUGAAAUGCAGGUGCAGCUGGACUUUCUUCUGAGCUAAAAGCAUAUUUAUUUAGUCCUGUCAACACUUGUGUUGCGGAUUAUUACUUCUGCUGCAGCUAACAUAAAGGUUGAUUGUUCAAAUGCUGACUGAUGCAGGAUUUAUCAGUAGCGUGAGCUACCUGUUACACUCGAUCUCAAAUCAAGUAAGACUACCCGCUGAACUUAA
RNAcentral lists this unclassified non-coding RNA (351 nucleotides) under uncultured fungus. RNAcentral describes it as "sequence contains ITS2". The stretch from base 1 to 52 matches the Rfam family "5.8S ribosomal RNA", at positions 103 to 154 of the family's 154-position model. The record is from RNAcentral. Lineage: Eukaryota; Fungi.